GCGGGCGUGGUGGAAUUGGUAGACACGCUAGACUUAGGAUCUAGUGCCGCAAGGUGUGGAGGUUCGAGUCCUCUCGCCCGCA
RNAcentral lists this transfer RNA (82 nucleotides) under Gillisia limnaea. RNAcentral's name for it is "tRNA-Leu(tag)". It matches the Rfam family "tRNA". From Rfam's summary of the family: Transfer RNA (tRNA) molecules are approximately 80 nucleotides in length. Their secondary structure includes four short double-helical elements and three loops (D, anti-codon, and T loops). Further hydrogen bonds mediate the characteristic L-shaped molecular structure. tRNAs have two regions of fundamental functional importance: the anti-codon, which is responsible for specific mRNA codon recognition, and the 3' end, to which the tRNAs corresponding amino acid is attached (by aminoacyl-tRNA synthetases). tRNAs cope with the degeneracy of the genetic code in two manners: having more than one tRNA (with a specific anti-codon) for a particular amino acid; and 'wobble' base-pairing, i.e. permitting non-standard base-pairing at the 3rd anti-codon position. The record is from RNAcentral. Lineage: Bacteria; Pseudomonadati; Bacteroidota; Flavobacteriia; Flavobacteriales; Flavobacteriaceae. RNAcentral also lists the same sequence under 13 other names.